GUAGGCGUGUCUCUGUAUAUAUGUGUCUCUGUAUGUAUGUGUCUGUAUAAUACAGACACAUACACACACACACACACAUACAGACACAUACAUACACAUACAGAUUGUAUGUGUGUGUCUCUGUAUCAUACAGAGACACACAUACAUACACACACACACACACACAC
This is a non-coding RNA of Pelobates cultripes (western spadefoot toad), 167 nucleotides long. NCBI's taxonomy places the organism in Eukaryota, Metazoa, Chordata, Amphibia, Anura, Pelobatidae. The record is from the annotation of a GenBank genome assembly.